AAGAGGCAGCUGGAGGUCUGUUGUUCAUUCAUCAAGCCAACAUUCUACGAGGCUCCACAUUUAAAGUGAGAGCAGAAACAGACACGUCUCUUAUGUGUGGCCAAAAGGAAGCACUGCUUCUCAACAGUCACUCAAAUAAACCCACGUAUUGGUCUCUCACCGUUGCCUGGCUCAGCAUUCGCCACAUAGAUGACCCCUUCCACAACCUGGCACACUUGCUGCACCUGGGGAGCCGGCCUGAAGACUGGGUCCCCCGAGUCAUUGCUCCCUAUUAAAGUGAAGAGUUUCCCACUCAUGUACUGCUUCUGUAGUUUGGCACGCUCCCUCUCUGCUCUGCACACAAACACCAAACGACCAUCUAUCACUCUGUACAUACCGUUCAAGGUAGGGAAUGCUUACUUGUUUGUCGAAUAUAGUGUAAAGAUGUUGAACUUGUGCUGGUUGUUGAACAUGUAACUGAUGCCAGAGCCGAUCACUGAAGGUCCUAAAGGACGGAAAAAAAAGUUGCUUGAGUUGGAGAAGAGUGGGGGUGACGCUUAAAAAAGUAAAGACUGCCAUCUUCUGGUGGACGAAGCAUCCUUGCAAAGCACAGUGCAAGGCAUUGCAUCAUUCAUGAACCUCAUUUCACAUAGCUCUUUGGCCACAAGAUGGCGCCAAACCAAGAUUUGGUUUUAGCCUGAGG
Long non-coding RNA from Syngnathus acus (greater pipefish), 682 nucleotides. RefSeq lists it as uncharacterized. The transcript is spliced from 2 exons. The record is from RefSeq and is a predicted model, not a curated record. NCBI's taxonomy places the organism in Eukaryota, Metazoa, Chordata, Actinopteri, Syngnathiformes, Syngnathidae.